GGCCGGGUGGCGGAAUGGUAGACGCGUAGGUCUCAAAAACCUAUGGUAUGCAAAUACCGUGAGAGUUCGAGUCUCUCCCUGGCCA
RNAcentral lists this transfer RNA (85 nucleotides) under Candidatus Woesebacteria bacterium RIFCSPHIGHO2_01_FULL_38_10. Its description in RNAcentral is "tRNA-Leu". It matches the Rfam family "tRNA". Rfam says of the family: Transfer RNA (tRNA) molecules are approximately 80 nucleotides in length. Their secondary structure includes four short double-helical elements and three loops (D, anti-codon, and T loops). RNAcentral also lists the same sequence under 1 other name. The record is from RNAcentral. Lineage: Bacteria; Candidatus Woeseibacteriota.